RNAcentral lists this ribosomal RNA (245 nucleotides) under uncultured bacterium. RNAcentral describes it as "partial small subunit ribosomal RNA". It matches the Rfam family "Bacterial small subunit ribosomal RNA", at positions 26 to 285 of the family's 1533-position model. The record is from RNAcentral.
AGAAUCAACGCUGGCGGCGUGCCUAACACAUGCAAGUCGCACGAGAAAGGGUAGCAAUACCUGAGUAAAGUGGCGCACGGGUGAGUAACACGUGACUAACCUACCUUCGAGUGGGGAAUAACCUGGGGAAACCCGGGCUAAUACCGCAUAAUACCUACGGGUCAAAGGAGCAAUUCGCUUGAAGAGGGGGUCGCGGCAGAUUAGUUAGUUGGCGGGGUAAUGGCCCACCAAGACGAUGAUCUGUA